UAAAAAGUGUUGUCUGCUCCAGUUCUCAUAUUUUGUGUUGACUGCUACCUUUCCCCCCUGAUAUUUGAGGUUGUUGUGAGAAUAGCAAUCUGCCAGGAUUGCAGCUUUUGGCGCACUUUUAGAGCCUUAUUAUUUUAACUAGUUCCUGGAAGUAUUUCCAUGUUUGUAGUAACCACAGUGACCAGAUUAACAGACACCAUGGGUGAGAGAUGAGAGACAUGUAUACAGUGAGAACACUCAGUUCCAUAAACUUUGUGUUGCUUCGUGCUUCGUGCUUCGUGCUUCAUGUUGAUUCAUGAUUUAUCUGUAUAGAAACGAAGAGAGUAAACUAUGGAAAACAGCUUUUGUUAGUUAUACACACUAGGACAUAAAACGAACCUCGACCGGCCUGGUCUUAUACUCACUAUAACUAUAUGACCUUAAUAAAGGUCAGGGUAAAGGCCAGACCAUUAUAAUGGCGCCCAACGUGAUUUAUUGUGAAAAGUGUGUUUUUCAUAUGGAUUAGAUAGAGUGAAAUUUGUGUGGACUACAGAUCAACUGCCACUGUUGUAAACAUAACUAUACAUUUAAACCUGCAGAUAUCAGGAUUUAACCAAUACACAAUUUGACAAACAUGCCAUGCAUGGAAUUUAAAUUUGGAUUUACAUGUUAAUGGAUCUAUUGGACAUUCGUUGAGAUGCAACAUACCGAGGAAGCCAGCACAUUCCCGAGAUUGACCCAUGUGUACGUUGGAACUUGGAUGGAUAUUUGGAAUGACAAGGAUGACAUUCAGGGAAGCAGGGACCAAACCAGGAUACACCGGACAUGUUGAACAUUUGUUGUGUGAAAUGUCAUGUAGUGACACUUGUGUUUAGUGGCCAUUGUGAGAGAGUUGCUGUGUUUCUGGUUUUGGAUUUUGUGAGUACCAUAUUUUGCCUAAAAUGCUUAGAACUUGCAAUUUAAUUUCUAUUUUGCAUUUUAAAUAAAUAACAAAUUGCAGAUUCUAGUAUUUUAUAUGAUUUCUGUGAGAUUUAGUUUCUGUAAAGUAAGAGAGAGAUUUCACUUGCAUGAAUAAUAAUCUGGUAAAGGUAUUUAAUUACUAAUUAAUCCCUUCCUCAUAAGUGCAUUUUAAUAUUUUAAAUAUUCACCACAAAUGUUACUCAU
Mya arenaria is the source of this 1143-nucleotide long non-coding RNA. RefSeq lists it as uncharacterized. The record is from RefSeq and is a predicted model, not a curated record. The transcript has 3 exons. NCBI's taxonomy places the organism in Eukaryota, Metazoa, Mollusca, Bivalvia, Myida, Myidae.